GCAAAAUGCAAAUUUGAAGAAGCACCUAAAGGUGCCGGGGCUUCUCCCGGU
Molecule: transfer RNA, 51 nt
Filed under: Phelsuma laticauda (broad-tailed day gecko)
Lineage: Eukaryota; Metazoa; Chordata; Lepidosauria; Squamata; Gekkonidae
Description: partial tRNA-Cys
Source: RNAcentral